UGAGGCGAUCUUGGCGUCCCUCAGGGCUGCUGCAGCGCUGGAUGGUGGCCGGCAACUUAGGUAGCAAUUUGGGAAGACGCUACCAAAGUGUUUAUUGUGCGCCAGGCCCUAAAAGGUUUGAGGCAGGGGGUGUCCUCACUGGACUCGAGGCGUCCCAUUUCAGGUGCUCUAUUGGCUAAUCUGUGUGAUGCCUUACAUAGGGUUUGCCAUUCAGAGUUCGAGGCCCGUCUCUUUCGUUUGGCUUUUUCCCUGGCAUUCUUUGAUACCAUGUGACUGUGUGCCCCAGUCGUCAGCAGGUGGGGGGGUGCUAUUUGGGGAUGUUACUUGCGCAGCGGAUUGAAUUUCAUUUAGGUUUCGACGCUCGAAGACCGAUGUCUUUGGGAAGGGUAAGUGGGUCCGACUGGGGGGUGUGCCGGGUUCCGGCAUUUGUCACGUUUUUUCCUUUGGAAAGUAUUGUUCCUUACACCCGGUUUCUCCCUC
Non-coding RNA from Pelobates cultripes (western spadefoot toad), 480 nucleotides. The record is from the annotation of a GenBank genome assembly. NCBI's taxonomy places the organism in Eukaryota, Metazoa, Chordata, Amphibia, Anura, Pelobatidae.